CAUACGCGUUCAGAGUUUGAUCCUGGCUCAGGAUGAACGCUGGCGGCGUGCAUAACACAUUCAAGUCGAACGGACGAGGGGCUUCGGCCCCGAGUUAGUGGCGGACGGGUGAGUAACGCGUGAGCAACCUGCCCCUGUGUGCGGGAUAACGUCUGGAAACGGACGCUAAUACCGCAUGAUGCAACGGCAUCGCAUGGUGCUGUUGCCAAAGAUUUAUUGCACAGGGAUGGGCUCGCGUCCGAUUAGAUAGUUGGUGAGGUAACGGCCCACCAAGUCGACGAUCGGUAGCCGGACUGAGAGGUUGAACGGCCACAUUGGAACUGAGAAACGGUCCAG
Molecule: ribosomal RNA, 336 nt
Filed under: uncultured bacterium
Lineage: Bacteria
Description: bacterial SSU rRNA
Rfam family: Bacterial small subunit ribosomal RNA
Source: RNAcentral